UACAGAGGUCUCAAGCGUUGUUCGGAUUCAUUGGGCGUAAGGGUGUGUAGGUGGCGCGCUAAGUCGGGUGUGAAAUUUCGGAGCUUAACUCCGAAACUGCAUUCGAUACUGGCGUGCUUGAGGACUGGAGAGGAGACUGGAAUUCAUGGUGUAGCAGUGAAAUGCGUAGAGAUCAUGAGGAAGACCAGUGGCGAAGGCGGGUCUCUGGACAGUUCCUGACACUGAGACACGAAGGCCAGGGGAGCAAACGGG
Molecule: ribosomal RNA, 252 nt
Filed under: uncultured bacterium
Lineage: Bacteria
Description: partial 16S ribosomal RNA
Rfam family: Bacterial small subunit ribosomal RNA
Source: RNAcentral